UUGAUUUUUGUUGAUAGUUGAUGAAGAAGCCCCGUUAUAUCCACUCUUGACAGAACAUUUUCCUGUACUGUUUCCUGUCCAAACUAUGAUAUCUGGCUUGGGGUUUUUGCUCAGGGGGAUUGCUAAGAUCUCAUUUGCUAUGUUUUCCUCAAAAAACUGUUGAAUUAUUGGCUGAUUCCAAGCUCGAGAAUUUUCAUUGAUCAAACCUGCCACCAUAGUAGGUUCUUGGUACGUUGCUUGUCCCCCAAUAAUCCCCUGUGAUAACCAUUUGUCCUCCCUGAUUUUGAUGGAUUUUCCAUCCCCUACUAACCAUUUUGUAUAUGCUUUUAUUGUAUCUCGUCCCAGUAUCAAACUCUGUCAGCCCCAUGAUGAUCGUUGGCCCUUCUGAGCUGUCCAAAGAUCGCCAUGUGGAAAAUAGAUACCUUUUAAGACUUUGCUCCAUAGUGCAUUUGGAGAAUUGUAUAAUCUCCAUGCUUGUUUACCAAGCAUUGCAUGAUUGAAGAUGGACACUGGCAACUUAAAGAUCGACAUUGCAUAGGUUGGUAUGGCAUGUACGACACUUUUGAUCAAAACUUCCUUUCCUGCUUUGGCACUCUCAAUUCUUGGGCCAUAUUUCUUCUUAGUGUGUAAGUAUCAGAUUCUGACAUUCCACUAUGGUACCAUCUAGGAAGAAGAUAACAUCAUCCGCAAAAAGAAGGAUUUUUCACUUUGGGAAUCAAGGAUAUAUAUGUUUGAUUAAGGAGAGGAUCCAGAAUACCUGUGUUGAAAAAAUUCUGCACUAGCUGGAGUAGGUCAGUCUUUAGAAUUUCCCACGAAUUUUGAUAGAAAAGCCCAUUGAAACCAUCAGGGCCUGGGGCUUUUAAAGCUCCUAAUUGAAAAACUGCUGCUCGAACUUCCUCCAAAGUGGGUUUGGCCACCAGAUCUGCAUUGAUGUUCUCAUCGAGAGGAGAAUGACACUGGUUUAAGACUGGCUAGUAGUUUCUCGACCCUUCUGUUUUGUAUAAAUUGCUGUAAAAUGAUUGAAUAUGAUUUCUGAGUGCUACAGGAUCACGACACCACUUGUUGUCUUCCACUUGCAGCAUUGUAAUAAUGUUUCUAUGCCUCCUCUGUACCGUUGUUGCAUGAAAGAAACGGGUAUUUUUAUCACCCCAUUGUAGCUAUUUUAUAUGGGAUCUCAAUCCCCAAUAUUGUUCUUCCUGCUUCCUCAAUGUAUCAAUCUGGUGUAUUAUACUUUGAGCUUCUUUUUUGCUUGUGUGCUGGACUGGUUGAUUGGUUAUUUCUAUUAGAGUCUGAGUUAGCUCUUUUAUCCGCCUUGGUGAAUGGGCAUACUUCUCUUUACUCCAUUUUGUUAAUUCUUUUGAAGUCUCCUUAAGUUUCUCUGAAAAAGUGGCCAGUUGAGAAGCUGUUUGGUUCUAGAUUUGAUGGAUAACUCCAUGGUACUCUUCAUGUUCGAUCCAGAAAGCCUCCAUCUUGAAGUCUCUUUUUCUUUUCUUAUGUUCGAGUGUAGCCUAAGGACGAGAGGACUGUGGUCCGAGCCAAUAGCUGGAAGAGCUUGGAUUUCUGCUUCAUGAAAGGUAAUUCGCCAUUUCAAAGUGCAUAACACCCCGUCUAAUCUUUUUUUAACAAGAUCCUCCCCUUCUCUGUUAGUUGCCCAUGUGUAUGCACAUCCAUGGCUAUCAAUAUCCAUCAAAGGCAACUCAAUAAGCAUAUCUCUAAAGGCUACAAUUCUUUUAUUAUCUGCUUCUCUUUUCCCCACCUUCUCCCACACAUAUAAUAUCUCAUUAAAAUCUCCCAUGCACAUCCACGGAAUUGAACUAUGAGGUUUCAUAGCCUUCAAAUUUUGCCAUAAUAACAGCCUCUCUCCAAAGUUUGUUGAAGCAUGAACAAAGGUUAUCUACAUGACAUAUUUGCUGACUGGAUCAGUGCAUUCCACAUCGAUAAACUGUUUUGAACUGUCUUUCACUUUCAGUGUUACUUCCUCAUGCCACAUUAAGGCCAAUCCCCCUACUAUGCCUGUCGGAUUCUCUAGGAAUAAGUGCUGAAAUUGUAGUUUUUUACUUAUACUUUCCAUCAUCGUUGCUUUGUUUUUAGUUUCCAUAAGAAAAACUAAACUGGGCCUUUCAAGAGCAAUUAAGGCUCUUAGUUCCUGGAUUGCCAGGGGUUGCCCAGCCCCUGACAAUUCCAGCUAAUAAUUUUCAUGUCGUCAUGGGUGGCUUAUUAGGGCUAGCCACCAAAGCCCAUUCUGUUCCAUCUUUGAGCAACUUCACUAGAGUCUCCAUUAGGUCUGAAUCAUCUAUAAGAAGGGGAGUUGGCUCAGGUAAACACUUUUGCUUUUUUGCUUUUUGCACCUUCAUAUUCUUUUUGCUGCUUUUCCCUAUUUUCAAAGAAUUCUGUUUAGGAGCUUCUGAGCAAAUGAUCUAUUUUCCAUAAUCUUUGGGUUCCUUCUUAUUUGGUAUAAUUUCUUCCAUGAUCUCCUGUUCCAUUGAACUUUCUGCUCUCUUUUUGCUGUAAGCUUCUAUUCGCAUAUCUAGGCCUGUCUCUCUCACUAUUAUAUCCUGUCCACUAGCUGGAGAAGGUGCAACAGGUAUUGUCUCUUCCACUAUAAGUUCUUCGAUUUUUCCAUAAAAAGCUUCUCAAUAAGGGCUGUGAUCACUUGCUUCUGCUUUCAGCCAAGGUCCAUAAGGUCCUAUUUUGUUGACUGCCCAUGGUGAUUCCGCAUAAGGGAUUUCUGCACAAUCUUGUGCAUAGUGGCCAAUUCUUCCACAGGAGUAGCAGUAAUGAGAGGACUAGACAGGUCAAUUUCCACUCUAACUCUUCCUCCUUUUUGAUGAACAUUCCCUAUGGAUUCUGAUUGGAUUUCCUAGACCUAGGCCAAGCUUUCUUCCCAAAUCAUGGUAAACUGUUUCAACCCUCCAGCCAGGGGGAAUACCUCCAAUUCUCACCCAAAAUGCUGUUAUGGAAAAAUCGUAACAAUGUUCUGGGAUUUCAAGCUUGCACUGUUUAAGGACAAGCAGAUUGCUAGAAUAAGACCAAGGGAUGGAGGGUUUUCGAUAAGCUAUUCAGAUAUACAAGGUUAAGGUAGGGGAAAGCUGGAAAGUAGUUCGCUAUAAGACAACUUCAUGUUCAAAUUCAAAGAGGGACAGGUUUUCACAGCAAACUGGACCCAAAAGAUGAUCAGAUCCAUUUCCAUAAGCUCCAUCCGCAGCGACAUCAAUCCAAAAACCAGAGGCGAAGCCAUAAACAUAGCAGCGACAAAAUCGGUGUAAAUCCUCGUCAAUACUACUAACAUCCAUGAGCCCAGACCACUUUUAGUAAUAUAAAGGCGAAAUCCAACCGUUUUCGAGCA
This is a long non-coding RNA of Eucalyptus grandis, 3346 nucleotides long. RefSeq lists it as uncharacterized. The record is from RefSeq and is a predicted model, not a curated record. The transcript is spliced from 8 exons. Lineage: Eukaryota; Viridiplantae; Streptophyta; Magnoliopsida; Myrtales; Myrtaceae.